UCUGUCUGCUUUGUCCUGCCGCCUAGCCUCCCCGGUAUGCCCCCAGGCUGACCCUCGGCCCGGCUCCAUGACCUCUUCACCCCAUCUCCGUUAUCUCAGCCCCCUCACUCCUCCAGCCUCAUGCUCUCUGCCUUCAUAGCUUCAUUGCACCAUGACCACCACCGGCUCUGGGGUCUGGGCCCCUGUAGAACUUCACCGAACUUCUUGGUCCCACAGAGCGCCUGUUUGCGGGUUCCUUCCAGAGGUCUUAGUUUCCAGGCCCUUGGUCUCCUCAUCCCUUGCCUUUUCUCCCAACCAUGGCUGCAGGGGACCAAAUUGCUCUCCUG
RNAcentral lists this long non-coding RNA (326 nucleotides) under Homo sapiens (human). RNAcentral's name for it is "HSALNT0229622". The record is from RNAcentral. Lineage: Eukaryota; Metazoa; Chordata; Mammalia; Primates; Hominidae.